RNAcentral lists this small RNA (116 nucleotides) under Acinetobacter radioresistens. RNAcentral describes it as "Guanidine-I sequence". It matches the Rfam family "Guanidine-I riboswitch aptamer". From Rfam's summary of the family: This family represents a conserved RNA structure found upstream of the ykkC and yxkD genes in Bacillus subtilis and related genes in other bacteria. The function of this family is unclear although it has been suggested that it may function to switch on efflux pumps and detoxification systems in response to harmful environmental molecules. Lineage: Bacteria; Pseudomonadati; Pseudomonadota; Gammaproteobacteria; Moraxellales; Moraxellaceae. The record is from RNAcentral.
CAUAAAGUGAUCUAGGGUUCCGGCAGUUAUUUUUUAAAGCCUGCGUCUGAGACCGAGAGUUCACGGCUAGGUUUUCCAAAACCAAAGCUACACGGAGGGAUAAAAGCCCGGGAGGU